GAUGAAGAACGUAGCGAAACGCGAUAGGUAAUGUGAAUUGCAGAAUUCCGUGAAUCAUCGAAUCUUUGAACGCACAUUGCGCCUUCUGGUAUUCCGGUAGGCAUGUCUGUCUGAGCGUCAGCAAACACCCUCAGCUUGAGUAUUUUUGUGCUCUUGCUGGUCUUGGGCUUGGAAGCUGGGUCUAACCCCCCGCGCCUGCCCUAAACUUGCUGCACGACCGCUGGCUUCGGCUGGGUCAAUGGAGUGGUGUCACAAUCUUCCAGAAGACUUUCAACUGUAGCGCGGUGGCGUUAAACCUGCUGUCCGAAAGGACCGAAGUUUUGACCUCAGAUCAGAUAAGGAUACCCGCUGAACUUAAGCAUAUCAAUAAGCGGAGGA
Molecule: unclassified non-coding RNA, 378 nt
Filed under: soil metagenome
Description: partial contains 5.8S ribosomal RNA, internal transcribed spacer 2, and large subunit ribosomal RNA
Rfam family: 5.8S ribosomal RNA (bases 1-120)
Source: RNAcentral